This 404-nucleotide unclassified non-coding RNA is filed under the name soil metagenome. RNAcentral's name for it is "partial contains 5.8S ribosomal RNA, internal transcribed spacer 2, and large subunit ribosomal RNA". The stretch from base 1 to 121 matches the Rfam family "5.8S ribosomal RNA", at positions 35 to 154 of the family's 154-position model. The record is from RNAcentral.
GAUGAAGAACGCAGCGAAAUGCGAUAAGUAAUGUGAAUUGCAGAAUUCAGUGAAUCAUCGAAUCUUUGAACGCACCUUGCGCCCUUUGGACAUUCCGAAGGGCAUGCCUGUUUGAGUAUCAUGAACACCUCAACUCUCACGGCUUGUCCGUGAUGAGCUUGGACUUUGGGGGUCUUGCCGGCCUGUGGUCGGCUCCUCUCAAAUGGAUCAGCUUGCCAGUGUUUGGUGGCAUCACAGGUGUGAUAACUAUCUGCGCUUGUGGUUUUCCAUCAGAUAACCUUCAGUGAUAUGGAGGUUCGCUGGAGCUCACAAAUGUCUCUCCUUAGUGAGGACAGCUCUUUGAACGUUUGAUCUCAAAUCAGGUAGGACUACCCGCUGAACUUAAGCAUACAAUAAGCGGAGGA